Molecule: transfer RNA, 74 nt
Filed under: Roseicyclus mahoneyensis
Lineage: Bacteria; Pseudomonadati; Pseudomonadota; Alphaproteobacteria; Rhodobacterales; Roseobacteraceae
Rfam family: tRNA
About the family: Transfer RNA (tRNA) molecules are approximately 80 nucleotides in length. Their secondary structure includes four short double-helical elements and three loops (D, anti-codon, and T loops). Further hydrogen bonds mediate the characteristic L-shaped molecular structure. tRNAs have two regions of fundamental functional importance: the anti-codon, which is responsible for specific mRNA codon recognition, and the 3' end, to which the tRNAs corresponding amino acid is attached (by aminoacyl-tRNA synthetases). tRNAs cope with the degeneracy of the genetic code in two manners: having more than one tRNA (with a specific anti-codon) for a particular amino acid; and 'wobble' base-pairing, i.e. permitting non-standard base-pairing at the 3rd anti-codon position.
Source: Rfam by way of RNAcentral
CGGAGUGUGGCGCAGCCUGGUAGCGCACCUGCUUCGGGAGCAGGGGGUCGGAGGUUCGAAUCCUCUCACUCCGA